GAUUAACGCUGGCGGCGUGCAUAACACAUGCAAGUCGAACGAUGAAACUUUAAUGAACCCUUCGGGGAGAAUUAAAGCGGAUUAGUGGCGAACGGGUGAGUAACGCGUGAGUAACCUGCCUUACACAAGGGGAUAGCCUUUGGAAACGAAGAAUAAUACCCUAUAAAACCAUAAAAGCACAUGCAAUUAUGGUCAAAGUGAUAGCGGUGUAAGAUGGACUUGCGUCUGAUUAGCUAGUUGGUGAGAUAAAAGCCCACCAAGGCAACGAUCAGUAGCCGGCUUGAGAGAGUGUACGGCCACAUUGGGACAGAGACACGGCCCAGACUCCUACGGGAGGCAGCAGUGGGGAAUUUUGCACAAUGGGGGAAACCCUGAUGCAGCGACGCCGCGUGAUUUAGAAGGCCUUCGGGUUGUAAAAAUCUUUUGUAUAGGAAGAAAAUGACAGUACUAUACGAAUAAGGUCCGGCUAAUUACGUG
This 477-nucleotide ribosomal RNA is filed under the name uncultured bacterium. RNAcentral's name for it is "partial 16S ribosomal RNA". It matches the Rfam family "Bacterial small subunit ribosomal RNA", at positions 28 to 507 of the family's 1533-position model. The record is from RNAcentral.